ACGCUCGACACCUACGGGAAGCAGCAGUGGGGAAUAUUGCACAAUGGGGGAAACCCUGAUGCAGCGACGCCGCGUGAAGGAUGAAGUAUUUCGGUAUGUAAACUUCUAUCAGCAGGGAAGAAAAUGACGGUACCUGACUAAGAAGCCCCGGCUAACUACGUGCCCGCAGCCGCGGUAAUCUGAGCGGGCUGGCAAGGC
This 198-nucleotide ribosomal RNA is filed under the name uncultured bacterium. RNAcentral describes it as "partial 16S ribosomal RNA". It matches the Rfam family "Bacterial small subunit ribosomal RNA", at positions 326 to 539 of the family's 1533-position model. The record is from RNAcentral.